Falco peregrinus (peregrine falcon) is the source of this 3475-nucleotide RNA transcript. It is a transcript of the gene named RNA polymerase II associated protein 2, with no coding region annotated. Lineage: Eukaryota; Metazoa; Chordata; Aves; Falconiformes; Falconidae. The record is from RefSeq and is a predicted model, not a curated record. The transcript is spliced from 15 exons.
CGGGUGAGAGGUCAGAGGGCGGGAGCGGGCAGCCGCCGGCAUGGCGGGCAGGAAGCCGCCGGGCGGCGCGCAGGGGAGGCUCGGCCGGCGGCACGCAGGGAAUAAACUUUCAGCUGCUCUGAAGAAUGAAGAUGCUGCUCAAAGGAAGGCAGCUCUGGCAGCUGCUAUGAGAAAGAAGAUUGAAUCUGAGAAAAAAGCAUUGUAUAUUGUUGAACAACUCCUGGAAGAGAAUAUUACUGAAGAGUUUCUUCUGAAUUCUGGAAAAUUCAUUACUCCAUCUCACUAUAAAGACAUUGUUGAUGAACGGUCUAUCAUCAAGCUAUGUGGAUAUCCUCUAUGUCAAAAUAAACUGGAAAAUGUGCCAAAACAGAAGUACAGAAUUUCAACAAAAACGAACAGAGUUUAUGAUAUCACUGAAAGAAAGUGCUUUUGCAGCAACUUCUGCUAUAGAGCAUCUAAAUAUUUUGAAGCUCAAAUUUCCAAAAGUCCGGUAUGGAUGAGAGAAGAAGAAAAACCACCAGACAUAGAGCUGCUGAAGGAGGGACAGAGUGGACAGUCUGGAGAAGAGGUGACACUACGUGAUGAAGUAAUUAAAGCAUCUGACAUUGAAAAUCCUAGGAUAUCUUCAAAUCCAUGUGAAUCUGGUUCUCAUGAUGCAGCCAGUGACAGUAGUAGUGAUACUGAACAAGAAUUUGUUUCUUCUGUCGUACGAGGAAGUCAGUCAAGUUCAGCCAGUCUUGCACAGCAAUUGCACAGAAACAGCAUCCUCAAAAAGAAGCAGGCUCAGAAAGUCUGUUCCAGCCCUAAAACAGAAGAGUCAGAUGUGGUAGAAGCCACUGAACUACUGUCUAAUUGUAAAUUAGAUGCUCAAGAAGAAAUAGGUGCUUGCUCUGUUCAUGAUAAAAUAACUGCAAUGCCUUCAAAAACUACUACUCUGGGGAAAUCAAGUGCUUCAGAAAACUGUGAAGAUAUUUGUGGUUCACAGAUAGUUUUUCUAGGUGUGAGCAAAAGAGGGGCAGAACAUCUUAAAAGAACACUCGCUAACUCAGAAGACUGUAAAAAACCUGAGGUGAGGCAUCCAGUUAAUUCCAAAGGAAGUUUAUUAGACGUGCUUAAGCAAACACUUAAGGAGUGGAGAACUGAGGAAACUUUAAAAUUUCUCUAUGGCCCAAACUAUACUUCUUUGUGUUCAUCAGAGAGCAUUUCAACUGCCAACCAGGAGAACGAAGAACUUGAUGAGGAUGACUUAGAUACAGCUGAUGAUCUUAACACUGUUGCUGUAGGGGAGUCUGAAAACAGUUUGAACUGUUCUUUACCUUUCACAGGCCCAGGUGGAAUAGUUAAGCCUGUGCCUAGUUACGAGAAGUUAAAAGAAGAAACAGAGUUUCUAGAACUCCGAGUAAAAGAGUUCUAUAAAGGAAAGUACAUCUUGGCUGAAGAGGCAGUAACACAUGCACAGGCAGAGGAGCAUCCAAGCAAAGAAAGAGAUGAUCAACAGGAAGAUUUCACCUUCCCACUUGUUGAUUCAAAUGCACAAAUGCAGAUUAGAAAGCGAAUUGUCCUUGACAAACUGAGAAAAGUAUUACCUACAGUUUUGGGCCCUCUUCAGAUUUCCCCAGCUGAUGUUUACACAGAGCUAAAAAAUCUUGUCAAAACUUUCCGGUUAACAAACAGAAAUAUUAUUCACAAAAUGCCUGAAUGGACUCUAAUUGCUAUUGUCUUGUUAUCUGUAUUGUCACAAAUUACUCCACUUUUCAAGAAUACUAAGACAAGCCCGAUGUACACACAGUUCCUAACUACAUUGCUGGAAGAACUGCAUUUCACAAAUGAAGAUCUGGAAAGUUUAACAAGAAUAUUUAGGAAGGACUGCCUACUUGAACAAAUAAGGUGAUCAUCUUAACACCUGCUAUCUGCAAUAGUGGCACAUAGAACAAAAGAACACCUUCAAUCACUGGAACCUUUUUUAAAUGAAAAAUGAAAUUUAGUAUUAGUUGUACUCGCACUUCUGCUUUUUCCUUUUCUUCCUACGAAUAAGAAUUUUGAAGUCUUGUGGAGAAGAUAAUUAUAACAGCAGUUGUUCAAGUUCAUCUCUACCUCGCAACCUUGAAUACAAGGGAGAUGAUACCUGAAGCAAAGCUGAUAAAGUUACCAGUACUAAGAAGCAUGUGUGCUGAGGGUGGGGAGAGGGAGGCACAGCAGCGUAGAUAUGUAUCUUCACAUCCUUAUUUCCUUUACAAACGGAGGAAGGAAGUUCCCUGCAGAUAUGAAUCACCCAACAGCUACAGCAGUGCUCCUGUGCAGAGAUGAUUAAGAAUUUUUAUGCAACUUCUUUAAUCAGAAGAGGCCUACUUGGUUGAAAAUGAAACCUCUGCAGGAAAAGGUUGGUUUUGAUUAAUUUCUCAACUUGAAAAAGUGUCUAAAUUGUCAGUGUGUUUCACUUCAACAUUUCUAAACACACAGAAAAGGGAGAGGGGGGGGAAAGGCAAGUUUAAAAGUCACUUUUUAUUUUAAGAAAUUUAAAAUUUUUCAUUGUAAGAAAUCUAAAUUAUAUCGAAUGGUAUCCAGCCAUUUUAACACAUUUUACAACAUUAUUUUUUUGUUUGCAAAAAUUUACAUUUUCAUGUCUUCCCAAAUUGUUUGUUGUAGAUUGGACUGUGUGAACACUUUAAUGUAUUUUUCUUUAGUAGAAGUACAGUAUUUUUAAAACUAAUUGGAUGAGGAGCUGUAACAGCUUUGUUCAAAAUUUCUUGCUAUACAGGAAUCCCUGAAUCAUAGCCCUUGUAUCUCUAUAGGCUGUUACCUAUCAAAAGCCAUUAUCUUUCAUAAUGCAACCUCAGGGAAGAUUUUAUUGCUGAAAGAGAUAUUCCUACUUUUAACUAAUUGUUGUAAGAAAUUGUCUAGUUUCAGAGCCUUCACCAAGAUCACAAAUUCAGCACUGAAGAUGGAUCAAACUGAUCAGUCACAGAUCACAGAAGCAGAACACAGGUUCAUGCUUAUUUUUAGUUGCUGAUUUUUUGGACUGAGCUAAUGAUCUUCUCAACACACAUUUAUAUGUAUUGAGGUGGGAUCUUUACCAUUUGAGGACUCUUUCAAGAGGAUUAUUAAUUAGCAGUUUCAUCAUCAAUUUCAAAGUGUUUUCCAAAGAUAGGUAACUCCUUUUCAGAGAAAAGGAAAGUGAAAGGGGAGUGAGAGUGACUCAACUAGGCACGUGGACCAUGUCAGAUGCAGAGCCAGAAAUACACUCUGAGCUCCUGGUACCCACACUCAUAGCCUGGGGACUAACAUGGCUUUCACCAAAAGUGAUAGCAGGCACCUUCACCAUUUUGCAAAGGAACAUCAUUUUUUUGGUAGAAGAUGUGUUUGAAAUUAAAAACGUAUUUGCUUUCUUCUUUGUGAUACAUGCUAUAAUACCUUCCUUACUCUUUUGCCUAACUCUACCCAAAGCUGAAAGAGAAAUAAAAGUUCAUUGGGCAUA